This 643-nucleotide ribosomal RNA is filed under the name Piloderma sp. 11 RT-2012. Its description in RNAcentral is "eukaryotic LSU rRNA". The stretch from base 106 to 260 matches the Rfam family "5.8S ribosomal RNA". The record is from RNAcentral. Lineage: Eukaryota; Fungi; Basidiomycota; Agaricomycetes; Atheliales; Atheliaceae.
UUNUAAGGGCCCCCUGAAAAGGGNNNNNCUCUAUUCAUCAACCCAUUGCAUGUCUCAGAAUGUAAACAUAUGUCCUCNCCUUAAAAAGCGUUGAUAAACUUAUACAACUUUCAACAACGGAUCUCUUGGCUCUCGCAUCGAUGAAGAACGCAGCGAAAUGCGAUAAGUAAUGUGAAUUGCAGAUUUUCAGUGAAUCAUCGAAUCUUUGAACGCACCUUGCGCUCCUUGGUAUUCCGAGGAGCAUGCCUGUUUGAGUGUCAUUAAAUUCUCAACUCCGAUCGAUUUGUUUCGACCUCGGAGCUUGGACUUUGGAGUGUGCUGGCGUCGGUCGGCUCCUCUCAAAUGCAUNAGCGGAAUCUAACGUUUCGGAUGUCAGUGUGAUAAUCACGUUGCGCUGUCAACCGAUCCUGAAAGGCCCGCUCAUAAUGGUCUUCGGACAACUUCAUAUCAAAUUUGACCUCAAAUCAGGUAGGACUACCCGCUGAACUUAAGCAUAUCAAUAAGCGGAGGAAAAGAAACUAACAAGGAUUCCCCUAGUAACUGCGAGUGAAGCGGGAAAAGCUCAAAUUUAAAAUCUGGCGGUCUUGCGGCCGUCCGAGUUGUAAUCUGGGAGAAGCGUCUAUCCGCGCCCGGACCGUGUACA